Oncorhynchus keta (chum salmon) is the source of this 1406-nucleotide long non-coding RNA. RefSeq lists it as uncharacterized. The transcript has 3 exons. The record is from RefSeq and is a predicted model, not a curated record. NCBI's taxonomy places the organism in Eukaryota, Metazoa, Chordata, Actinopteri, Salmoniformes, Salmonidae.
GGUGUGAUGAUAUAGUUAUCUGUAGAGGUGUGAUGAUAUAGUUAUCUGUAGAGGUGUGAUGAUAUAGUUAUCUGUAGAGGUGUGAUGAUAUAGUUAUCUGUAGAGGUGUGAUGAUAUAGUUAUCUGUAGAGGUGUGAUGAUAUAGUUAUCUGUAGAGGUGUGAUGGUAUAGUUAUCUGUAGAGGUGUGAUGAUAUAGUUAUCUGUAGAGGUGUGUCAGAUAUAGUUAUCUGUAGAGGUGUGAUGAUAUAGUUAUCUGUAGAGGUGUGAUGAUAUAGUUAUCUGUAGAGGUGUGAUGAUAUAGUUAUCUGUAGAGGUGUGAUGAUAUAGUUAUCUGUAGAGGUGUGAUGAUAUAGUUAUCUGUAGAGGUGUGAUGAUAUAGUUAUCUGUAGAGGUGUGAUGAUAUAGUUAUCUGUAGAGGUGUGUCAGAUAUAGUUAUCUGUAGAGGUGUGAUGAUAUAGUUAUCUGUAGAGGUGUGAUGAUAUAGUUAUCUGUAGAGGUGUGAUGAUAUAGUUAUCUGUAGAGGUGUGUCAGAUAUAGUUAUCUGUAGAGGUGUGAUGGUGUGUCAGAUAUAGUUGUAUCACUGUUGCUCUCCCAUCACUCUCUCCCUCAUGCCAGUCUCUCCCUCAUGCCAGUCUCUCCCUCUUGCCAGUCUCUCCCUCAUGCCAGUCUCUCCCUCUUGCCAGUCUCUCCCUCUUGCCAGUCUCUCCCUCUUGCCAGUCUCUCCCUCUUGCCAGUCUCUCCCUCAUGCCAGUCUCUCCCUCAUGCCAGUCUCCAUGGCGACACCCUCUAGCUACUUAGUCUGUGUGGGGAGAUGUAAAAAGUUAGGAAACGUACUAAUAAGUAGGUCUGGUUUUUAUUUUAUCUUCAUGGAUAACAUUACAUAUCUAAGUCUCCAGGUGGGUUAUGAACUCGGGUUAUGAUCUAUAGCGUCAAUAAUGCAGGGGCUCUCAGAAGAGACUUCAAAGACGUGAUGUAUAUUUAUAUAUAUAUAUAGUUUAUGAUGCUUGUAGAGGGAAAACAUCAAGAGUGGGAGCACUCAGAAAUAGUAGGAUAUAUGCCCCAGCUAGUUCAGGAAGGAAACUGUAUAUCAGAAGUCUUUUAAUGUCGACCCGGCCUGUAAUCAUAUGAUCGUGUCAUUAUCAGAGCUUCAGAAGACUGGAGGAGUCUGUCUCCCGUGUUUUCUAUAGAAGGUAAAUUACGGGUCUAUUUGGCAGUUCUGUUGGCACGUGAUUUUGAGGUGACUAGAUGGCUGCCAUCUUGGAUCGGAUGCUGUGGUAGAAAUGGCAGGUAUUUACGGGCACACUGGCAGAGGCUCUGCGGUCUGGUGUGUGUGUGUGUGUGUGUGUGUGUGUGUGUGUGUGUGUGUGUGUGUGUGUGUGUGUGUGUGUGUGUGUGUGUGUGUGUG